GCGAACGCUGGCGGCAGGCUUAACACAUGCAAGUCGAGCGGGCGUAGCAAUACGUCAGCGGCAGACGGGUGAGUAACGCGUGGGAACGUACCUUUUGGUUCGGAACAACACAGGGAAACUUGUGCUAACACCGGAUAAGCCCUUACGGGGAAAGAUUUAUCGCCGAAAGAUCGGCCCGCGUCUGAUUAGCUAGUUGGUGAGGUAAUGGCUCACCAAGGCGACGAUCAGUAGCUGGUCUGAGAGGAUGAUCAGCCACAUUGGGACUGAGACACGGCCCAAACUCCUACGGGAGGCAGCAGUGGGGAAUAUUGGACAAUGGGCGCAAGCCUGAUCCAGCCAUGCCGCGUGAGUGAUGAAGGCCCUAGGGUUGUAAAGCUCUUUAGUCCACGAAUAUAAUGACUGUAGUGGAAGAAUAAGCCCCGGCUAACUUCGU
RNAcentral lists this ribosomal RNA (433 nucleotides) under uncultured bacterium. RNAcentral describes it as "bacterial SSU rRNA". It matches the Rfam family "Bacterial small subunit ribosomal RNA", at positions 29 to 506 of the family's 1533-position model. The record is from RNAcentral.